RNAcentral lists this ribosomal RNA (846 nucleotides) under Nata dumeticola. RNAcentral describes it as "partial 16S ribosomal RNA". The stretch from base 342 to 846 matches the Rfam family "Eukaryotic large subunit ribosomal RNA", at positions 1890 to 2996 of the family's 3401-position model. The record is from RNAcentral. Lineage: Eukaryota; Metazoa; Mollusca; Gastropoda; Stylommatophora; Rhytididae.
GGUUAAACAAAUAUUUUUAUGAUUUUUACUUUCCCGAAAUAAAAAGAGCUAAAAUUUUAAUUUUUAGAAUAAUAUUUAAUGUAGCAGUAUUACUCAAUAUUUAAUUUUAGAGGUGAAACGCCUACAAUUUUUAUGAUAUCUGGAUUUAAUUUAAAUGUAUUUAGUACAGGAAAUGAAUUAAAAAGUGUUAAGAUUUUUUAAAAAACCUACUUUUAACUUUCAUAAUUGGAGUAUAUCUCCAUUAAAAAAAUAAUGACGAUAAUUUCUUAUAUAUAAUGUGGUUAAUUUAGAUUUUUAAGAACUUAAUUAAAAGUUUUUAUUUAAUGUUUAAAUGAGUAUAAAUAAAAAUGUUUUAUAGGAACUCGGCAAAUAUCUAAUUCAACUGUUUACCAAAAACAUAGCCUUUUGAAAAUAUAAUAGGUGAUUCCUGCCCAUUGGUAUUCUUAACGGCCGCAGUACCUUGACUGUGCUAAGGUAGCAUAAUAAUUUGGCUUUUAAUUGGAGUCUUGAAUCAAAGGAAAAAUGAAUUUAAACUGUCUUUAAAAUAAAAAUAAAAUUUACUUAUAAGGUGAAAAUACCUUUUUAAUUUUAUUAGACAAGAAGACCCUUAGAGCUUGUAUUUUUGUUGGGGCGACAAGGUAGCAUAUAACCUACCUUUUUUACACGAAAAAAAAUUUGUAUGAAUAAGCUACCUAAGGGAUAACAGCAUAAUAUUUUUUUGUUUGUGACCUCGAUGUUGGAUUAGGAAUUUAAUUUACUAGACGUAAAAUUAAAAAGUUCUGUUCGAACAUUAUCUCCUACAUGAUCUGAGUUCAGACCGGCGUAAGCCAGGUCAGUUUCUAUCUU